UACAGAGACUGCAAGCGUUAUUCGGAUUUACUGGGCGUAAAGAGCGCGCAGGCGGUCGUUCAAGUCGCGUGUGAAAGCCCCCGGCUCAACUGGGGAGGGUCACGCGAUACUGAUCGACUCGAAGGCAGGAGAGGGUAGUGGAAUUCCCGGUGUAGUGGUGAAAUGCGUAGAUAUCGGGAGGAACACCAGUGGCGAAGGCGACUACCUGGCCUGUUCUUGACGCUGAGGCGCGAAAGCUAGGGGAGCAAACGGG
Molecule: ribosomal RNA, 253 nt
Filed under: uncultured bacterium
Lineage: Bacteria
Description: partial 16S ribosomal RNA
Rfam family: Bacterial small subunit ribosomal RNA
Source: RNAcentral